This 71-nucleotide transfer RNA is filed under the name Cordylochernes scorpioides. RNAcentral's name for it is "tRNA-Gly". Lineage: Eukaryota; Metazoa; Arthropoda; Arachnida; Pseudoscorpiones; Chernetidae. The record is from RNAcentral.
UGCAUCGGCCGGGAAUCGAACCCAGGCCGCCCGCGUGGCAGGCAAGCAUUCUACCACUAAGCCACCGAUGC